Molecule: ribosomal RNA, 468 nt
Filed under: uncultured bacterium
Lineage: Bacteria
Description: partial 16S ribosomal RNA
Rfam family: Bacterial small subunit ribosomal RNA
Source: RNAcentral
GAUGAACGCUGGCGGCGUGCUUAACACAUGCGAGUCGAACGGUGAAGGCGGAGCUUGCUCUGCUGGAUCAGUGGCGAACGGGUGAGUAACACGUGAGCAAUCUGCCCCUGACUCUGGGAUAAGCGCUGGAAACGGCGUCUAAUACUGGAUACGAGCUGCGAAGGCAUCUUCAGCAGCUGGAAAGAACUUCGGUCAGGGAUGAGCUCGCGGCCUAUCAGCUUGUUGGUGAGGUAACGGCUCACCAAGGCGUCGACGGGUAGCCGGCCUGAGAGGGUGACCGGCCACACUGGGACUGAGACACGGCCCAGACUCCUAUGGGAGGCAGCAGUGGGGAAUAUUGCACAAUGGGCGAAAGCCUGAUGCAGCAACGCCGCGUGAGGGACGACGGCCUUCGGGUUGUAAACCUCUUUUAGCAGGGAAGAAGCGAAAGUGACGGUACCUGCAGAAAAAGCGCCGGCUAACUACGUG